This 499-nucleotide ribosomal RNA is filed under the name uncultured Glomeromycotina. RNAcentral's name for it is "partial small subunit ribosomal RNA". It matches the Rfam family "Eukaryotic small subunit ribosomal RNA", at positions 591 to 1092 of the family's 1831-position model. The record is from RNAcentral. Lineage: Eukaryota; Fungi; Glomeromycota.
CCAAUAGCGUAUAUUAAAGUUGUUGCAGUUAAAAAGCUCGUAGUUGAAUUUCGGGAUCAAUCUAUCGGUCGUGCAAUAGUACGUACUGAUUUUAUUGAUUCCUCCCUUCCGAUGAACCAUAAUGCCAUUAAUUUGGUGUUAUGGGGAAUCAGGACUGUUACCUUGAAAAAAUUAGAGUGUUUAAAGCAGGCUCACGCUUGAAUACAUUAGCAUGGAAUAAUGAAAUAGGACGUUUGAUUCUAUUUUGUUGGUUUCUAGGAUCGACGUAAUGAUUAAUAGGGAUAGUUGGGGGCAUUAGUAUUCAAUUGUCAGAGGUGAAAUUCUUGGAUUUAUUGAAGACUAACUACUGCGAAAGCAUUUGCCAAGGAUGUUUUCAUUAAUCAAGAACGAAAGUUAGGGGAUCGAAGACAAUCAGAUACCGUCGUAGUCUUAACCAUAAACUAUGCCGACUAGGGAUCGGAUGAUGUUAAUUUUUUAAUGACUCAUUCGGCGCCUUACG